This 218-nucleotide small RNA is filed under the name Staphylococcus massiliensis S46. Its description in RNAcentral is "Listeria sRNA rli60". It matches the Rfam family "Listeria sRNA rli60". The record is from Rfam by way of RNAcentral. Lineage: Bacteria; Bacillati; Bacillota; Bacilli; Caryophanales; Staphylococcaceae.
AUUUAACAAAUUUUUAGAUAAUUCGCACUAUUGAUUGAAACCAUUUAAUUAGGAAGGAGCAUAAUAAGAUGACUUUUAAUACAAGCGCAUAUACGAAACCACUAAGACAACAAAAUAUUAUUAUCAUUUUAUUAUGCAUGUUAGGACUCGAACAUCAGUAAACAAAUUUUUGUUACUGCUCGUUUAAGUCCUAUUUCUAGUUGAAUGGGACUUAUCUA